This 301-nucleotide ribosomal RNA is filed under the name uncultured bacterium. RNAcentral's name for it is "partial 16S ribosomal RNA". It matches the Rfam family "Bacterial small subunit ribosomal RNA", at positions 509 to 807 of the family's 1533-position model. The record is from RNAcentral.
CAGUAGCCACGGGAAUACCGAGGGUGCGAGCGUUAAUCGGAAUUACUGGGCGUAAAGCGUACGCAGGCGGUUUGUUAAGUCAGAUGUGAAAUCCCCGAGCUUAACUCGGGAACUGCAUUUGAAACUGGCAGGCUAGAGUCUCGUAGAGGGGGGUAGAAUUCCAGGUGUAGCGGUGAAAUGCGUAGAGAUCUGGAGGAAUACCGGUGGCGAAGGCGGCCCCCUGGACGAAGACUGACGCUCAGGUACGAAAGCGUGGGGAGCAAACAGGAUUAGAGACCCCGGUAGUCCCUGUCUCUUAUAC